CCUGGGGGGAUGGCCAGCUACAUGGUGCCCUCUCCCCCCCACCCCCACCCCACCAGCAGUCCCUUCCACCAAAGCAAUUCAUCAUCAGACCUCCAGGGCAGACAGCACAACUCCCAAGCCUUCAAGCUGACAGCCACAGGCAAAUGAAGACAGCUGGUUCUCACCUUCUAUGCGGCCCUUGGUCCCCAUUGCCCUGUGAGACUCUGCUUCUGACAAAGGGUCAGAAAGAUCCAUCCCUGAGAGGAAAAGAAGGGAAGACACCCUACCCCACGCCCCUGGAACUCACACCCCAGUGUGGAGGAUCACACGCAGACACACACAGCAGGACGACAGGAACCCAGCUGGUUUCAAAGACAAGCCAUGUGCAGGAGCUGAGGGCUGACAGGACAAUGGUGAACCCAGUGCCGUCAGCAAAGUCUGCCGUCAGACACAGGAAAUGGCACAGGGGCUGUCCAGCGGAGAAGCCACCAGGCCAGUCUGUUGCAGCAAUCGAAUGUUUAUGUUUAAACUGGACGUCAU
Molecule: long non-coding RNA, 519 nt
Organism: Rattus norvegicus (Norway rat)
Lineage: Eukaryota; Metazoa; Chordata; Mammalia; Rodentia; Muridae
Source: Ensembl